CAUGAUAUCCUCGUUCAUAUGGUUCAAUUUGUUUCUGCUGUAUGCCAACACAAUUAAACUAACUUGUUCAUAUUUUUUUAUCUGUUCCAGGUAUGUAUUCAGAUUCAGAUAGGCGACACUAACAUUCCUCGAACAUUCAAAAAUAAAACAGAAAACGGUGAAAACCCCUUGGUGAGUUGCUCAUUUAGUCUUGUAGAGCGUCAGUCUUUUCUGCAUGUAGGUUUCGUUUAGGUUUGUUACCGUUCCACAAUCACAACUAAAGGAUACUCUUUGACGCUAUGAUCCGGACAGUCAAAUAAUAAUGGAGUAUAUAUACCUGCUACUUCUCUGUUGGUUGCGUCUGGUCUCUGCCGACCGGAGAGCCGAGAAUUAGAAGAGGAGCAGAAUGAUGAGGAAGGAGAAGGUGGCGAAGGUGGGGAAGAGCCGAACGACCAGGGAGCGCCCGAUUCCAGGCGGCCGCCGAUCCUCAAAACCCAGCCUACGACCAUAACCGUGGAAAAGGGCCAGACGGCAAUUUUACCAUGUGAAUUUCAAGAUUUGGGUAAGUAAUCCUCUCUACUCUAAUAA
This 567-nucleotide long non-coding RNA is filed under the name Bemisia tabaci. RNAcentral's name for it is "lncRNA ENSSSA2NGG001330". Lineage: Eukaryota; Metazoa; Arthropoda; Insecta; Hemiptera; Aleyrodidae. The record is from RNAcentral.